Molecule: long non-coding RNA, 216 nt
Organism: Branchiostoma floridae (Florida lancelet)
Lineage: Eukaryota; Metazoa; Chordata; Leptocardii; Amphioxiformes; Branchiostomatidae
Exons: 3
Source: RefSeq, a predicted model, not a curated record
AGAGCAAGCUACCGAUGCGGUGGAUGGCCUAUGAGUCACUGUUCUACAGUGUGUAUACAACUCAGAGUGACGUCUGGUCGUUUGGCGUUUUACUGUGGGAGAUCAUGAGCAUGGGGCAUCUGCCAUACGAAGGGAUGAAGGGAAAACAGAUGAUGGACAUGAUCAAAGAUGGCGGCCGUCUGAAGAAGCCAUUGCACUGUCCUGAUGAAAUGUAAG